Molecule: long non-coding RNA, 629 nt
Organism: Quercus lobata
Lineage: Eukaryota; Viridiplantae; Streptophyta; Magnoliopsida; Fagales; Fagaceae
Exons: 3
Source: RefSeq, a predicted model, not a curated record
AAGUGGACUGGGCUAUGUGAUAUUAAUAAGUUUCUACACAAUGAUAAUUUGUGGAUUUGAAAUUUGUGUGAAAGAUUACUCUUCUCUGUAGGAAAUUUGGAGGACUACCCCCAGAGUUUUUUUGGCUGGACUUCCUAAAAUUAUUGACAAUUGUCACAUUAAUUGGAACUCCGAUCAAAGACAGGUCCUCUGGAUUUUACAAAUAGCAUAAGCCUAGCAGAUUAACACAAAAAACUUGCAAUGGAUGAUGAAGAAAGAUCAAGAUCAAUCUCAAAGAGAAAACCCCAUCUAGGUGGUCACAGAUUAACACUACUAGUCAUGAUCAAUUUGGAAUAAGAUUAGGUAAAAGAUUCCAGUUGUUGAUUGAUGGUGUUUGGUUCGGAUUUGUAUUGCUAUUCCUAAGCAUUCCUUCAUUUGUUGGCUAACGUUCAUGGAUAGAAUUCUCCCUCAUGACAGGGUUGCUAAAUGGGGAUACAAUUGUGAUCUUGUUUGUAUGUUGUUUGUAGUUUCCAUGCAUUUUAAACUUACUUUUUUUUUGGGUCAUUUUCUUGAAUGUUAUCGUGUCAGGCUGUCAUUUAUGUCUAAAGAGAUAUUCAUGUAUUUGGAGAAGUCUAAAAUCGAUAUAAGAG